RNAcentral lists this ribosomal RNA (253 nucleotides) under uncultured bacterium. Its description in RNAcentral is "partial 16S ribosomal RNA". It matches the Rfam family "Bacterial small subunit ribosomal RNA", at positions 524 to 776 of the family's 1533-position model. The record is from RNAcentral.
UACGUAGGGUGCGAGCGUUGUCCGGAAUUAUUGGGCGUAAAGGGCUCGUAGGCGGUUUGUCGCGUCGGGAGUGAAAUCCACUGGCUUAACUGGUGGCUUGCUUUCGAUACGGGCAGACUGGAGGUAUGCAGGGGAGAACGGAAUUCCUGGUGUAGCGGUGAAAUGCGCAGAUAACAGGAGGAACACCGGUGGCGAAGGCGGUUCUCUGGGCAUGUCCUGACGCUGAGGAGCGAAAGCGUGGGGAGCGAACAGG